UUCCGGUUGAUCCUGGGGAGGCCACUGCUAUGGGGGUCCGACUAAGCCAUGCGAGUCAUGGGGCGCGCUCUGCGCGCACCGGCGGACGGCUCAGUAACACGUCGGUAACCUACCCUCGGGAGGGGGAUAACCCCGGGAAACUGGGGCUAAUCCCCCAUAGGCCUGAGGUACUGGAAGGUCCUCAGGCCGAAAGGGGCAUCUGCCCGCCCGAGGAUGGGCCGGCGGCCGAUUAGGUAGUUGGUGGGGUAACGGCCCACCAAGCCGAAGAUCGGUACGGGCCAUGAGAGUGGGAGCCCGGAGAUGGACACUGAGACACGGGUCCAGGCCCUACGGGGCGCAGCAGGCGCGAAACCUCCGCAAUGCGGGCAACCGCGACGGGGGGACCCCCAGUGCCGUGGCAUCGCCACGGCUUUUCCGGAGUGUAAAAAGCUCCGGGAAUAAGGGCUGGGCAAGGCCGGUGGCAGCCGCCGCGGUAAUACCGGCGGCCCAAGUGGUGGCCGCUAUUAUUGGGCCUAAAGCGUCCGUAGCCGGGCCCGUAAGUCCCUGGCGAAAUCCCACGGCUCAACCGUGGGGCUUGCUGGGGAUACUGCGGGCCUUGGGACCGGGAGAGGCCGGGGGUACCCCUGGGGUAGGGGUGAAAUCCUGUAAUCCCAGGGGGACCGCCAGUGGCGAAGGCGCCUGGCUGGAACGGGUCCGACGGUGAGGGACGAAGGCCAGGGGAGCGAACCGGAUUAGAUACCCGGGUAGUCCUGGCUGUAAAGGAUGCGGGCUAGGUGUCGGGCGAGCUUCGAGCUCGCCCGGUGCCGAAGGGAAGCCGUUAAGCCCGCCGCCUGGGGAGUACGGCCGCAAGGCUGAAACUUAAAGGAAUUGGCGGGGGAGCACUACAAGGGGUGGAGCGAGGGGUUUAAUUGGAUCAACGCCGGAAAU
RNAcentral lists this ribosomal RNA (927 nucleotides) under uncultured archaeon. RNAcentral's name for it is "bacterial SSU rRNA". It matches the Rfam family "Archaeal small subunit ribosomal RNA", at positions 1 to 925 of the family's 1478-position model. The record is from RNAcentral.